GGUUCUGAUGUGGUUCUUGUUGAUACUGCUGGUCGGAUGCAGGAUAAUGAACCAUUAAUGAGAGCUCUCUCAAAGCUUAUUUACCUCAACAAUCCAGAUUUGGUCUUGUUUGUUGGAGAGGCAUUGGUUGGAAAUGAUGCAGUUGAUCAACUAUCAAAGUUCAAUCAGAAAUUAGCUGACCUCUCUACUUCACCCAGUCCAAGACUAAUAGAUGGGAUUCUUCUUACCAAGUUUGAUACAAUAGAUGAUAAG
This 252-nucleotide unclassified non-coding RNA is filed under the name Hevea brasiliensis (rubber tree). The record is from RNAcentral. Lineage: Eukaryota; Viridiplantae; Streptophyta; Magnoliopsida; Malpighiales; Euphorbiaceae.